Molecule: non-coding RNA, 457 nt
Organism: Paramuricea clavata
Lineage: Eukaryota; Metazoa; Cnidaria; Anthozoa; Malacalcyonacea; Plexauridae
Source: the annotation of a GenBank genome assembly
CAACGGCUUAAUCAACCUAAAUACUAAACGAUGUUCAAUCAAGCAUAAUAUUAUUCCUAAUACUACUAAUAAAUUAUACUUCUCCACGUUUUUUCAUUGCAGGCAUAUUUGAAGGAAUAAGCUUUUCCUCUUCAUAUCAUUUAAUUUAAUUUAAUUUAAGUUACUUCUUCAGCAAAGACUGAAAUACUUCAUGAGGUACAUCAAUAUUCCCAAUCCUUCGCAUUUUCUUUUUCCCUUCUUUCUGUUGAUCUAAUAGUUUUUUUCGUCUUGUCAUAUCUCCACCAUACUAUUCAAAGUAUACAAAUACGCGAAAUAAGGCUAACCAUAUAAAAAUAUAUAAGAAGACCUGCAAGAACUCCUCAUUUGUGGAAGUUUUAGUGCUCGAGCCAACGGCGCAUAACCCGGUGACUAAAACUUCAUCAAUGAUCCCGGGUUCAUGAGCAUAUAUAUAGUGGUG